CAUUGUGAAGCUAAUAAUAGCAUUAACCUUUUAAGUUAAAGACUGGAGCCCAAUACUCCCACAAUGA
RNAcentral lists this transfer RNA (67 nucleotides) under Sicista concolor (Chinese birch mouse). RNAcentral's name for it is "tRNA-Lys". It matches the Rfam family "tRNA". From Rfam's summary of the family: Transfer RNA (tRNA) molecules are approximately 80 nucleotides in length. Their secondary structure includes four short double-helical elements and three loops (D, anti-codon, and T loops). Further hydrogen bonds mediate the characteristic L-shaped molecular structure. tRNAs have two regions of fundamental functional importance: the anti-codon, which is responsible for specific mRNA codon recognition, and the 3' end, to which the tRNAs corresponding amino acid is attached (by aminoacyl-tRNA synthetases). tRNAs cope with the degeneracy of the genetic code in two manners: having more than one tRNA (with a specific anti-codon) for a particular amino acid; and 'wobble' base-pairing, i.e. permitting non-standard base-pairing at the 3rd anti-codon position. Lineage: Eukaryota; Metazoa; Chordata; Mammalia; Rodentia; Dipodidae. The record is from RNAcentral.